CGGGACGUGGCGCAGCUUGGUAGCGCACCUGACUGGGGGUCAGGGGGUCGCAGGUUCAAAUCCUGUCGUCCCGA
Molecule: transfer RNA, 74 nt
Filed under: Actinacidiphila yanglinensis
Lineage: Bacteria; Bacillati; Actinomycetota; Actinomycetes; Kitasatosporales; Streptomycetaceae
Also listed under: 38 other names
Description: Streptomyces yanglinensis tRNA
Rfam family: tRNA
About the family: Transfer RNA (tRNA) molecules are approximately 80 nucleotides in length. Their secondary structure includes four short double-helical elements and three loops (D, anti-codon, and T loops).
Source: Rfam by way of RNAcentral